Long non-coding RNA from Oxyura jamaicensis (ruddy duck), 1192 nucleotides. RefSeq lists it as uncharacterized. The record is from RefSeq and is a predicted model, not a curated record. The transcript has 3 exons. Lineage: Eukaryota; Metazoa; Chordata; Aves; Anseriformes; Anatidae.
CAUGCUGUACAAUACUGUAUUUGAUCCAGGAAAUUAUCAGCACAAAUGCCACAGAUUAUUCAUCAGGAAAGGCAAAGCUAUCCCUACCAAUCUAAAUCUUUCCAAAUCUUUUCAUAUCUAUCAAAAACGAAUGUGCUGGAGUUGCAUAGAGUGCAUGGGGUUGUUACCAAGUUGAUAGUGUACACCCUGAGCUCUAUAAGCACGAAGGAAACUAUGCAAGUUGGACAGUCAGGUUUUGCACUAAAUUAGGACUUGCACUAAAGAAUGGAAAAACCUCCAAGCAGAUUAACUGCUGGACAUACACGUACGACAUUCAGGAGCAGGUAUAUUGUGCUGUAUCUGUGUAUGUACAGGGCUAAGAUCUGGAAGGUAGACUUCACUCUUGUCAUGAUGAUGACUUCUGAGCUCAAACCAAUGGUGCACUGUUAGUCAUGCUGUUGAAAUACCAUCAAAGCGGACAGGAAAUGUGACCCAGAGUGUCACUGCAAAGUCACCAGCUGCUGAGCAGGCUCCCAGCUCAGAGGCAUCACCCCUCGUCAGGCAGUGCCGGGCUCCCCUCACCUCCCACGGUUCGGUGCCUGGAGUUGGGCAGCACAGUGACUCUUAUCCUGUGGUCAAAUCUGCACCAAGACUUGAUGGAGGAAGAAAGCAGAAGCGGCAGCAGCAGCUUUCCUCGCCUCUGUGCUUCUCUCUUCUCUGUCAUCCCCUUCCCCUGCUGACUUCAUACAGCCACUGUCCCCGGAGCACGCUGCCUUCUUCCCACAGCUAUCAAAAUUUCCCUCCGACUUCCUUCCCUCGCCACACAAAGUUUCACUGCUUCCUCCGGCCUCACACCCGACCUCCCCUGCUAGAUCCACACAGGCCGUGCCGUUCAGGCCCUGCUUCCCAGCACCCUGGUGAACAGUCUCUAAAAGCCUCGCACCACUCAACAGGGAAUGGUUAUCUUGCCGGAAUCUGGAGCAAGGUAACACUGGUCGAGGUGGUUAUUCCGGACAGGCUGGAAGGUUCCUUGCCUAUCUCAGGUAUGGGAGGUCACAACAGAGGAGAUGGCAGUGAGGAGAGGAUAUUGAGACCAUCUCCGUAACACAGCUGACCUGCUUUCCAUCUUUUGUGACUAAACUGCCAGGAAAUUUAACUGGAAUUAGAGCUUAAAGGUGAUUUACGGUUUUCUAUAAAAUCUCUUUUCUGUAAG